UACACUUAUACACACUUAUCGUAGACACAGAAGUGAAUAAUCUUUGCCCUUUUAUAGAAAAUCUUUGCUUCUUUUCCCUCCAGUGCUGACAGCAUACUGUCACUAUUUGACCACAAACUGACAUGGUAUCUCCCUUUUACAUGACCUAUUGAUGGAUUUUUUACACUUGAAAUUAGCCCAAAGCUUCUUGGAACCUUGUGAAUAGACAUACCUAUUUUUCUUUUAUUUUUUUUACUUUGUAUUUGUCCUAUAUUGCUUGAUCUGGGACCCAUCGGUGAAUCACUACUACCUGUGUACUUGGAGUCCUGCAAUCUGCACAGGCACACAGUUAGUACAUGGGUGCACAUGGGCUACUUCAGUAAGGAAUCAUGUGGAAAUAGAAUUAAAAGCUCUUGAAGGUCAGUGACUCUGAAGCUGCUGAAAGAUUAAAAUUAAGAAGAUUGCUUUUCCUAAAUUGAUCUUUUAUGUGUUUAGAUAACUUCCUAAAUUGGUACCCUUAUGCAGGAGGACAAAUUAGGGAGCUGUUUAGCAGAUAGCUCCCUUAUUUAGCUGGGUGUUCCCAAAUUAAUUCAUAGACAUGAGUCACCAGUUUUCUGAAUUGGGAGGCACGCAGUUCACCC
This is a non-coding RNA of Pelobates cultripes (western spadefoot toad), 620 nucleotides long. Lineage: Eukaryota; Metazoa; Chordata; Amphibia; Anura; Pelobatidae. The record is from the annotation of a GenBank genome assembly.